AUCAUGGAGGACAUAACACAUGCAUAAAUUCUAAGGACAGGGAGAAUAAAAAACAGCCCCUCCCAAGAACUCACAAACUAUCAAAUGAGAACAAUAAAUAAAUCCUGUACAACAUGAUAAACACUAGCAUAAAGUCAAACACAAGGACAAUAAGGAUCAUAAAGGAAAAUCGACUAUACUUCCAGUACAAUAUCAGAAUAUGACUUAAAUUAACCUAAGAGUUCAUCAAUAGAUUGUUGGCUACAGAAAUUAGGAGUUAUCUGGGUAGUGAUAUUUUAUAGAGACAUUUGAAAUAUAACAUUAAUCUGUGUAUCACUGUGAAAAUAAC
This 328-nucleotide long non-coding RNA is filed under the name Bos taurus (domestic cattle). Its description in RNAcentral is "long non-coding RNA NONBTAT009630". The record is from RNAcentral. Lineage: Eukaryota; Metazoa; Chordata; Mammalia; Artiodactyla; Bovidae.